GAGGGUACAGCUCAGCAGUAGGGCACAUGCUUAGCAUGCAUGAGGUCAGGUUCAAUCCCCAGUACCUCCA
This 70-nucleotide transfer RNA is filed under the name Camelus bactrianus (Bactrian camel). It matches the Rfam family "tRNA". Rfam says of the family: Transfer RNA (tRNA) molecules are approximately 80 nucleotides in length. Lineage: Eukaryota; Metazoa; Chordata; Mammalia; Artiodactyla; Camelidae. The record is from Rfam by way of RNAcentral. RNAcentral also lists the same sequence under 2 other names.